AUUGAACGCUGGCGGCAUGCUCUACACAUGCAAGUCGAACGGUAACAGGCCGCAAGGUGCUGACGAGUGGCGAACGGGUGAGUAAUGCAUCGGAACGUGCCCAGUCGUGGGGGAUAACUACUCGAAAGAGUAACUAAUACCGCAUACGAUCUAUGGAUGAAAGCGGGGGACCGUAAGGCCUCGCGCGAUUGGAGCGGCCGAUGUCAGAUUAGGUAGUUGGUGGGGUAAAGGCUCACCAAGCCAACGAUCUGUAGCUGGUCUGAGAGGACGACCAGCCACACUGGGACUGAGACACGGCCCAGACUCCUACGGGAGGCAGCAGUGGGGAAUUUUGGACAAUGGGCGCAAGCCUGAUCCAGCAAUGCCGCGUGCAGGAAGAAGGCCUUCGGGUUGUAAACUGCUUUUGUACGGAACGAAACGGCUCUGGUUAAUACCCGGGGCUAAUGACGGUACCGUAAGAAUAAGCACCGGCUAACUACGUG
This 482-nucleotide ribosomal RNA is filed under the name uncultured bacterium. RNAcentral's name for it is "partial 16S ribosomal RNA". It matches the Rfam family "Bacterial small subunit ribosomal RNA", at positions 30 to 507 of the family's 1533-position model. The record is from RNAcentral.